GGGUCAGUAGGUUGGUCGUGCCACCGGUACGUACUGGUCUCACUGAUUCCUCCUUCCUGAAGAACCGUAAUGCCAUUAAUUUGGUGUUGCGGGGAAACAGGACUGUUACUUUGAAAAAAUUAGAGUGUUUAAAGCAAGCUAACGCUUGAAUACAUUAGCAUGGGAUAAUGAAAUAGGACAAUCGAUCCUAUUUUGCUGGUUUCUAGGAUCGACGUA
This 216-nucleotide ribosomal RNA is filed under the name Glomeromycotina sp. Its description in RNAcentral is "partial small subunit ribosomal RNA". The stretch from base 44 to 216 matches the Rfam family "Eukaryotic small subunit ribosomal RNA", at positions 690 to 864 of the family's 1831-position model. The record is from RNAcentral. Lineage: Eukaryota; Fungi; Glomeromycota.